CCUACGGGAGGCAGCAGUGGGGGAUAUUGCACAAUGGGGGAAACCCUGAUGCAGCGACGCCGCGUGUGGGAAGACGGUCCUCUGGAUUGUAAACCACUGUCCCCAGGGACGAAAAUGACGGUACCUGGGGAGGAAGCUCCGGCUAACUACGUGCAAGCAGCCGCGGUAAUACGUAGGGAGCGAUCGUUGUCCGGAAAUACUGGGUGUAAAGGGAGCGUAAGCGGGGAUGUAAGUUGGGUGUCAAAACUACCGGCUAAACUGGUAGUCGCCCUCAAAACUGCAGCUCUUGAGUGAAGUAGAGGCAGGCGGAAUUCCUAGUGUAGCGGUGAAAUGCGUAGAUAUUAGGAGGAACACCAGUGGCGAAGGCGGCCUGCUGGGCUUUUACUGACGCUGAGGCUCGAAAGUGUGGGGAGCAAACAGGAUUAGAUACCCCAGUAGUC
RNAcentral lists this ribosomal RNA (440 nucleotides) under uncultured bacterium. Its description in RNAcentral is "partial 16S ribosomal RNA". It matches the Rfam family "Bacterial small subunit ribosomal RNA", at positions 338 to 795 of the family's 1533-position model. The record is from RNAcentral.